RNAcentral lists this ribosomal RNA (352 nucleotides) under uncultured bacterium. RNAcentral's name for it is "bacterial SSU rRNA". It matches the Rfam family "Bacterial small subunit ribosomal RNA", at positions 917 to 1268 of the family's 1533-position model. The record is from RNAcentral.
GGGCCCGCACAAGCGGUGGAGCAUGUGGUUUAAUUCGAUGCAACGCGAAGAACCUUACCUGGUCUUGACAUACACAGAAUCUUGUAGAGAUACGAGAGUGCCUUCGGGAAUUGUGAUACAGGUGCUGCAUGGCUGUCGUCAGCUCGUGUCGUGAGAUGUUGGGUUAAGUCCGGCAACGAGCGCAACCCUCGUUCCUAGUUGCCAGCGGGUAAUGCCGGGGACUCUAGGAAGACAAACCUCGUGUAGAGGUGGGAAGGUGGGGACGACGUCAAGUCAGUAUGGCCCUUACGACCAGGGCUGCACACGUGCUACAAUGCCUGGCACAAUGGGAUGCAAUACCGCGAGGUUGAGC